CUAAUACCGGAUGACGUCGGAGCAUCGCAUGAUGCGCUGACGAAAGGGUUACUGGAUCGGGAGAGCCUCGCGGCCUAUCAGCUUGUUGGUGGGGUAACGGCCCACCAAGGCAUCGACGGGUAGCUGGUCUGAGAGGAUGAUCAGCCACACUGGGACUGAGACACGGCCCAGACUCCUACGGGAGGCAGCAGUGGGGAAUCUUGCGCAAUGGGCGAAAGCCUGACGCAGCAACGCCGCGUGCGGGAUGAAGGCUCUCGGGUUGUAAACCUCUUUCAGCUCCGACGAAGCGCAAGUGACGGUAGGGGCAGAAGAAGCACCGGCCAACUACGUGCCAGCAGCCGCGGUAAUACGUAGGGUGCGAGCGUUGUCCGGAAUUACUGGGCGUAAAGAGCUCGUAGGUGGUUUGUCGCGUUGUCCGUGAAAACUCACAGCUCAACUGUGGGCGUGCGGGCGAUACGGGCAGACUGGAGUACUGCAGGGGAGACUGGAAUUCCUGGUGUAGCGGUGGAAUGCGCAGAUAUCAGGAGGAACACCGGUGGCGAAGGCGGGUCUCUGGGCAGUAACUGACGCUGAGGAGCGAAAGCGUGGGGAGCGAACAGGAUUAGAUACCCUGGUAGUCCACGCCGUAAACGGUGGGUACUAGGUGUGGGUUUCCUUCCUUGGGAUCCGUGCCGUAGCUAACGCAUUAAGUACCCCGCCUGGGGAGUACGGCCGCAAGGCUAAAACUCAAAGAAAUUGACGGGGGCCCGCACAAGCGGCGGAGCAUGUGGAUUAAUUCGA
Molecule: ribosomal RNA, 780 nt
Filed under: uncultured Actinomycetes bacterium
Lineage: Bacteria; Bacillati; Actinomycetota; Actinomycetes
Description: bacterial SSU rRNA
Rfam family: Bacterial small subunit ribosomal RNA
Source: RNAcentral